AUCUCUUCUUGGCCUCCUGGCUGCCUCAAGUGAGUGCCUGUUCUCACCGGUGUCAUAGCCAAUGUGUCCUCUAUCCAAGGACAAUAUGUGAAGUGGAUGUUUGGAGAAGGGAGACCCAUCAACUUGGGACUGCAGCACCUCCCAGAAGGGUGCAUCCCUU
This 160-nucleotide small nuclear RNA is filed under the name Urocitellus parryii (Arctic ground squirrel). RNAcentral describes it as "U2 spliceosomal RNA (ENSUPAG00010023551.1)". It matches the Rfam family "U2 spliceosomal RNA". Rfam says of the family: U2 is a small nuclear RNA (snRNA) component of the spliceosome (involved in pre-mRNA splicing). Lineage: Eukaryota; Metazoa; Chordata; Mammalia; Rodentia; Sciuridae. The record is from Rfam by way of RNAcentral.